GCUCAACCGGGGAGGGUCAUUGGAAACUGGGAAACUUGAGUGCAGAAGAGGAGAGUGGAAUUCCACGUGUAGCGGUGAAAUGCGUAGAGAUGUGGAGGAACACCAGUGGCGAAGGCGACUCUCUGGUCUGUAACUGACGCUGAGGAGCGAAAGCGUGGGGAGCGAACAGGAUUAGAUACCCUGGUAGUCCACGCCGUAAACGAUGAGUGCUAAGUGUUAGGGGGUUUCCGCCCCUUAGUGCUGCAGCUAACGCAUUAAGCACUCCGCCUGGGGAGUACGGUCGCAAGACUGAAACUCAAAGGAAUUGACGGGGGCCCGCACAAGCGGUGGAGCAUGUGGUUUAAUUCGAAGCAACGCGAAGAACCUUACCAGGUCUUGACAUCCUCUGACAACCCUAGAGAUAGGGCUUUCCCUUCGGGGACAGAGUGACAGGUGGUGCAUGGUUGUCGUCAGCUCGUGUCGUGAGAUGUUGGGUUAAGUCCCGCAACGAGCGCAACCCUUGAUCUUAGUUGCCAGCAUUUAGUUGGGCACUCUAAGGUGACUGCCGGUGACAAACCGGAGGAAGGUGGGGAUGACGUCAAAUCAUCAUGCCCCUUAUGACCUGGGCUACACACGUGCUACAAUGGACAGAACAAAG
This 637-nucleotide ribosomal RNA is filed under the name uncultured bacterium. RNAcentral describes it as "bacterial SSU rRNA". It matches the Rfam family "Bacterial small subunit ribosomal RNA", at positions 607 to 1244 of the family's 1533-position model. The record is from RNAcentral.